GGCAUGGUGCGGCGGGGCAGCUGGUGUUGUGAAUCAGGCCGUUGCCAAUCAGAGAACGGCUACUUCACAACACCAGGGCC
Molecule: microRNA precursor, 80 nt
Organism: Propithecus coquereli (Coquerel's sifaka)
Lineage: Eukaryota; Metazoa; Chordata; Mammalia; Primates; Indriidae
Source: Ensembl